Molecule: non-coding RNA, 2971 nt
Organism: Chlorocebus sabaeus (green monkey)
Lineage: Eukaryota; Metazoa; Chordata; Mammalia; Primates; Cercopithecidae
Source: RefSeq, a predicted model, not a curated record
CAGCUACUCAGGAGGCCGAGGCAGGAGAAUCGCUUGAACCCAGGAGGCUGACAUUACACCACUGCACUCCAGCCUGGGCAACAAGAGCAAAGCUCCGUCUCAAAAAAAAGAAAAGAAAUACUAGGGAAAAAUGUUUUAACUAGUCAUUCUUCCGAGUAGCUAACGAAGCUGACUUUUGAAAAGAAGGCUGUGAGCUUUGCAGAUGCUGCUACCGCCUGGAGCCCCUUGCAUCCAGCCAUGGUCAACCCCAUGUUUUUCAACAUUGUCGUCGAUGGCAAGCCCUUGGGCUGUGUCUCCUUUGAGGUAAGGGGCCUAGAAACCAAGAAGUGACUGUUCACCUAAUCCAUAAAACUAUGUUAGCAGAUUGGAGCUGUUUGCAGUUCCAAAGACAGCAGAAAACCUCCGUGCUCUGAGCACUGGAAAGAAGGGAUUUGGUUAUACGGGUUCCUGCUUUCACAGAAUUCUUCCAGGGUUUGUGUGUCAGAGUGGUGGCUUCACACGCCAUACAGCAUUGGUGGCAAGUCCGUCUGCAGGGAGACAUUGGAUGACAAGAACUUCAUCCUGAAGCAUACAGGUCCUGGCCUCUUGUCCAUGGCAAAUGCUGAACCCAGCACGAACGUUUCCCAGUUUUUUAUCUGCACUGCCAAGACGGCCAAAGCUGAGUGGUUGGAUGGCCAAACGUGUGGUCUUUGGCAAGGUGAAAGAUGGCAUGAAUACUGUGAAGGUCAUGGCGCACUUUGGGUCCAGGAAUGGCAAGAGCAGCAAUUUGCAUGAAGAUCACCAUUGCUAACUGUGGAUAACUGUAAUAAAUUUGACUGGUGUUUCUUUUAAAAAAAAAAAAAAAAAAAUACCGUGCCAGACCAAGUUGUCGUAAGAGCUAUGUGUUCACGUGUAAUGAAGACCAGUAUUUAACUGUGGGAACCGUGGGUGGCGUGGCGAAGGAGACAGUGUCCGUGACUGUGCCGCUCUCCGCAGCCCCGUCUGCUGUCCUGUUUCCUCGGCGGCUCGGUGUCUGGACUGGCGUUCCGGGUGUCCCAGCGGAAAACUAAAGGGCCAGAGAGGUGUAAACACACACACCACUUGGCAGGUAAUUUCCCCAUGUGCUAUCUUUUUAGGGAUCCCGAACACACAGCCUUUCCCAAAAGACUGCUCCCUCCAGCUACUGAGGAAUGAUGACAAGAAAAGGCCGAAUUGCAGUGUCUCCAUCAGCAGUUUGCUCUCUCUGGGCACACAAUGACAAAAUUUCCUGAAGCGAACCACUAGUCUGACCUCAGUAGCAGGAUUGGAAGCUUCAUGCCAUGGGAGUGGUCAAGAAAGGCAUCCCAAAGAGAACUGAACUAUUAAAAAAAAAAAAAAAUAGACCUUUAGGAAUAGGUGAUUGUCCCAUAUACUGGGGAUGAAAUACCCAGUGUAACCAAAUUCCCCAGUAAGAUCGCUUAGUUUGGCAAUAGUCUCUUUUGAGCACGCUGAAGUUUAUUUGCUCAAUGAAGGCUGAAAUUAUAAGUCAGUAUAUAUGUAUUACUAAGUAGAACUUGAGGUAAUUAUGUUUUAGUCAAAAGCAGUUUCUGUGGGCUUAGUAUAAACCCUACUUUGUGAUUUGCUAAAGCACAGGAUGUUGACUCAAACCAAAACUAGUUUUGUAGUUAAUAUAUGUUGUGUUUCUGUGACUUAAUAGUCAACUAGAAAAGCCACCUACGACAUUCCCAGCUAAUUAAGUUUUAAAAUUUUUUUAAAAAAUACUUGUCACCAUAUUUUCAGAAAUGCUAACAUUUGGAUUACUAGUUAUAAAAGUGAAAUUUCUACUGUGUCAUAAUCAGCCACACAGCUGGAGACUUGCCCUCUUUGUACAGCAAAGUUGUGAAAAAAGUAUUUGCACUACAUUCAUUUAAACAUUAGGGAAAAAAAACCAACCCAUGCUUUUCUUUGCUGAGUUGUAGGGUUGUAUUAUUGGCUAGUGAGAAGCCUGGGAACACCAGGACUGUGUGUGGGUGACUACAGGUAUCAGAUCCAGGAUUAUACACGUACUCUUGGAAGUGUCUUGGGGAUUUUCCUGGUAAGAACAACAGUGAUUGCAAAAAAAAAAAGACAAGAUGUAAAGUGAAAUCAGUAAAACAUCUUAGUAGACAGAGGGUGCUGACAUUUUAACAAAUGUGUAAAAAGUUCUUCCUAUACAUUAAUUUUCCAGAUACCCUUAAAAUGUUUAAGGAAUAUCAUUCAAAAUACUGUUUGAGAGACAUGUGACCAUCAUUCUCCAAGGGAAAUGUGGAUCAUUUAGUGUGCUACUUAAAAUUAGGUGCAAAUGUAUAUGUACACUGUAAGAAUAAAAAUCGAUACCAUUUCUUUAAAGCUAUCUAAAAGUUAAUUAUUUCUAAUAGUUACAUUUUAGGAUCUCAAACUAUUUUUCUUUUGAAAUAACUGCUUUCUACCCUAAGGUGUUACUUAUUGCUGUCUUCUUUUUAACAGGUGAAGAUAUUAAAGCUAGAAAUUGGAACUAGAAAAUCUAAAGAAUUCAAGGCAUCUUAACGUGACAGUUAACUCAUUUGAUUACAAAGUUCAUUGCAGUUAUUGAAUCUUUUUUGAGUGCGGUGGUGCCAUUGAUGCUUACUGCAGCCUCAAUCUCCCAGGCUCAAGAAAUCUUCCCACCUCAGCUUCCAGAGUAGCUGGGACUACAGGUGCAUGCCACGCCUUGUUAUUUUAUAUUUUUUCAAUAUAAACGAGGUCUUGCGAUGUCAUCCAGUCUGGUCUUGAACUCCAGUGAUCCUCCCACCUUAGCCUCCCAAAGUGCUGGAAUUACAGGCGUGAGCCACCAAACCCAGCCACCAAUUUUACUUUAGGUAAACUUUUAUUUUCAAGCAGCUUUUGUUGGUGUUGCAAGUACAAAUCAUGACUGUAAAUAUAACCACUAUUCUUUGUAAGCCAUUUAAAAUUUUAGUCUUUCAAGUAAACACCAAUAUUGUGGUUUUGAUCCUCA